ACGUAGGUUGCGAGCGUUGUCCGGAUUUACUGGGCGUAAAGCGCACGCAGGCGGUCCCGAAAGUCGAAUGUGAAAGCUCCCGGCCCAACUGGGAGAGGCCGUUCGAAACUUCGGGACUUGAAGGCGGGAGAGGCAGAUGGAAUUUCCGGUGUAGCGGUAAAAUGCGUAGAUACCGGAAGGAACACCAGUGGCGAAAGCGAUCUGCUGGCCCGCCCUUGACGCUCAGGUGCGAAAGCUAGGGGAGCGACCGGGAUUAGAUACCCCGUUAGUCCUAGCCGUAAACAAUGGGCACUAGGUGUUGUCGGUAUCGACCCCGGCAGUGCCGAAGCUAACGCAUUAAGUGCCCCGCCUGGGGAGUACGACCGCAAGGUUA
This 373-nucleotide ribosomal RNA is filed under the name uncultured bacterium. RNAcentral describes it as "bacterial SSU rRNA". It matches the Rfam family "Bacterial small subunit ribosomal RNA", at positions 525 to 896 of the family's 1533-position model. The record is from RNAcentral.